RNAcentral lists this ribosomal RNA (460 nucleotides) under uncultured bacterium. Its description in RNAcentral is "partial 16S ribosomal RNA". It matches the Rfam family "Bacterial small subunit ribosomal RNA", at positions 338 to 795 of the family's 1533-position model. The record is from RNAcentral.
CCUACGGGUGGCUGCAGUGAGGAAUAUUGGUCAAUGGACGGAAGUCUGAACCAGCCAUGCCGCGUGCAGGAUGACGGCUCUAUGAGUUGUAAACUGCUUUUGUACUAGGGUAAACACCCCUACGUGUAGGGGUUUGCAAGUAUCAUACGAAUAAGGAUCGGCUAACUCCGUGCCAGCAGCCGCGGUAAUACGGAGGAUCCAAGCGUUAUCCGGAUUUAUUGGGUUUAAAGGGUGCGUAGGCGGUUUGAUAAGUUAGAGGUGAAAUGCCGGUGCUCAACACCGGAACUGCCUCUAAUACUGUUGGACUAGAGAGUAGUUGCGGUAGGCGGAAUGUAUGGUGUAGCGGUGAAAUGCUUAGAGAUCAUACAGAACACCGAUUGCGAAGGCAGCUUACCAAACUAUAUCUGACGUUGAGGCACGAAAGCGUGGGUAGCAAACAGGAUUAGAUACCCGAGUAGUC